RNAcentral lists this ribosomal RNA (447 nucleotides) under uncultured Desulfobulbus sp. RNAcentral describes it as "bacterial SSU rRNA". It matches the Rfam family "Bacterial small subunit ribosomal RNA", at positions 940 to 1382 of the family's 1533-position model. Lineage: Bacteria; Pseudomonadati; Thermodesulfobacteriota; Desulfobulbia; Desulfobulbales; Desulfobulbaceae. The record is from RNAcentral.
UGUGGUUUAAUUCGAUGCAACGCGAAGAACCUUACCUGGUCUUGACAUCCCGGAGACCCUUAGGAAACUAGGGGUGCUUCCAUCUGGAAGAAUCUGGAGACAGGUGCUGCAUGGCUGUCGUCAGCUCGUGUCGUGAGAUGUUGGGUUAAGUCCCGCAACGAGCGCAACCCUUGCCUUUAGUUGCCAGCAGUUCGGCUGGGCACUCUAAAGGGACUGCCGGUGUUAAACCGGAGGAAGGUGGGGAUGACGUCAAGUCCUCAUGGCCUUUAUGACCAGGGCUACACACGUACUACAAUGGCCGAUACAAAGGGCAGCGACACUGCGAGGUGAAGCCAAUCCCGUAAAAUCGGUCUCAGUCCGGAUUGGAGUCUGCAACUCGACUCCAUGAAGUUGGAAUCGCUAGUAAUCGUGAAUCAGAAUGUCACGGUGAAUACGUUCCCGGGCCUU